UUGUUGUAGUAAAGGAGAGAAAGUUAACACUCGUCUUGACAAGGAUGGAAAUGGCCCCUGUGGCCUGCGACACACACAUGGUUAAGGCUUUGCCACCUACUUUGUGGCAUGUUUUUUAGUGAAUUGC
Phyllopteryx taeniolatus (common seadragon) is the source of this 127-nucleotide small nuclear RNA. NCBI's taxonomy places the organism in Eukaryota, Metazoa, Chordata, Actinopteri, Syngnathiformes, Syngnathidae. The record is from RefSeq and is a predicted model, not a curated record.